This 86-nucleotide transfer RNA is filed under the name Saccharomyces eubayanus. RNAcentral's name for it is "tRNA-Leu". It matches the Rfam family "tRNA". Rfam says of the family: Transfer RNA (tRNA) molecules are approximately 80 nucleotides in length. Their secondary structure includes four short double-helical elements and three loops (D, anti-codon, and T loops). The record is from RNAcentral. Lineage: Eukaryota; Fungi; Ascomycota; Saccharomycetes; Saccharomycetales; Saccharomycetaceae.
AGCUAUUUUGGUGGAAUUGGUAGACACGAUACUCUUAAGAUGUAUUACUUUACAGUAUGAAGGUUCAAGUCCUUUAAAUAGCAAUA